RNAcentral lists this ribosomal RNA (458 nucleotides) under Eisenia fetida (common brandling worm). Its description in RNAcentral is "partial 16S ribosomal RNA". It matches the Rfam family "Bacterial large subunit ribosomal RNA", at positions 1807 to 2570 of the family's 2925-position model. The record is from RNAcentral. Lineage: Eukaryota; Metazoa; Annelida; Clitellata; Crassiclitellata; Lumbricidae.
ACAAAAACAUUGCUCUUUGAAUAAAUAUAAAGAGUAUUUCCUGCCCAGUGAUUAUUAUUAAACGGCCGCGGUAUCCUAACCGUGCAAAGGUAGCAUAAUCACUUGCUCAUUAAUUGUGGGCUAGAAUGAAUGGACUAACGAAAUUGAAUCUGUCUCUUUUUAUUAAAUAAAAAUUAAUUUUUAAGUGAAGAAGCUUGAAUAAGUUCGAAAGCCAAGAAGCCCUAUAGAGCUUUAUUUUUGAAAAUAUAUUUUAUUUUUAUUAAUUUGGUUGGGGCCCCUAGGGUAUUAUCCCCCUAUAUGCAAAGAUAUUUUAUCUCAUAAAUCAUCCUAAAAUAGAUCAUAAGAAUAAGCUACCUUAGGGAUCACAGGCUAAUCCUAUUUGAAAGUUCUUAUUAAAAAUAGGGUUUGGCACCUCGAUGUUGGCUUAGGGAUUCUUAAUGGCGCAAAAGUCAUAAAGA